GUAUUAUGAAUUACCCACAUGAUUUUGAAUCACCUCAAAUGCUUGCUCUGCAAACUUCCCUACCUACCUCACUGGGUCGCUAGAAAGGAGAAAGUAAAUAAAAAUGGCAAGCGUUCUUUGAAGCUGUCACAUGGUAAAUAGUCAUUAAACAUAUCGGCAUCGUUUUACUAAAUACCGUCAUUACUUGCAAAAACAUUAGGAACACGAGAGCUGAGGAAAAAAUCGAUUACUAGCGGACAUUAAAAUUUUACGGGGCGAGGAGUAGGGGCGGAUUACAGGAGGGACGUGCCUAACCCAGGGAAGCGUGUGACCCCGCCGCUCCUACUUCCGGGACAGUCGGUGCUCCACGUCCACCCCCCCCCCCCCGGGACACGCUUCUGUUACGCUAGGCCUCCCAAGCGCCCCUGUGAGAAAUGAGAUCCGGGGUGGGUCUGGCCACGUUGCUCGCGCAAGGGCCCUGGAAGCCCAGUGAGGGCUCUGGGCAUCCCAGCCCCAGGCCCGCGGCCUGGAAGCCAAGUGCCAACAGGGAGCCGGAGGCAGGGCCCCGCUCACCCUACUCCCUCCCUCAGAGCGGUGCGGCCCAGGGGGUCUGCUUCCCAGGCCCGGAUAAGAAAACCAAGGCACAGAGAGAUGAAGUCACUUGUACGAAGUCCAACAGCAAGUGGUGGAAUCACCAUCAGAACCCAAGCCUUAGGUUCCAGAGCCACACACUUAGUCACUACGGUGUACUGACUCAAGUUCAUUAGGUUAAUCCUAAAGUGCCUGAGUUCCACAAUAGCCACCAACUUCGGGACUGCCGAGAGAAGGCAGCUAUCUCUGCCAGAGAAAAUGCAUUCCUGAACCUGACAUCUGGGUCUUGCAGCUGGAAGGAAGGAGGAGACA
This is a long non-coding RNA of Zalophus californianus (California sea lion), 882 nucleotides long. RefSeq lists it as uncharacterized. The record is from RefSeq and is a predicted model, not a curated record. Lineage: Eukaryota; Metazoa; Chordata; Mammalia; Carnivora; Otariidae. The transcript is spliced from 3 exons.